CACAGAACUGAGUAUAAUUUUCGGUUGUUGGCAGAAUUUUAGAGUAUGCAAUAGAAAUAUUCAGUCCACACAUGAAUUGAGUUUGACACUCCUGGCGCUUUAAGCAUAUUACAAAUCAACAGUGUUUUUUUGUUGUUAUUAAACACAUAUAGUCAAGAUACUAGUAGUAGCAUUCAAAAAAGCAGAACGAGAACACAUGUAUUAGUUGUUUUAAAAUGUAUCAGAAAUACAUUUCCAUAAACUAUACACACUGCUUUAAUGUCGGUGCGCAGUGACGCAGAAAGGCAGUGUGUAGUGUAUCAAUACACUAUUGGAGUAUUAGUAACCGCCACACUUCAAGGUUACACGAUUCUCGAUCGCUUAAAUGGUAAAGAGCUAAUGCGAUACGUGUAAAUGAUCUUCUAGACACAGAUUGGAUCGAACAUCCGUUUAGCUUAGCUUCCUUCCGUAUGCCAUUCGAUCAUAAUAUUUGUGCGAUCGAUAAUCAAAAAUAACUCAUUUGAAAAAGAAUAAGAAAGAUAUGCCGAAUUAGCUCGCUGAUCUUGAUCAAUACAGCGAUUCUUCUUUCAGCCCAUCAGAUAUAUCGUUCUGUUCGGUGAGACACGUUACGUUUAUGUAACCACGUUCUCUGUAGGUCAAGUUACAGCAGCCGUAUAUAAUUAAAUAUUUUAAUAAUGUUAAUAUAGUUGAUCACAUAUUAAACCAUAAUAGAGAGAGAGAGUGGUGCAACAAAUGCAAACGAGAUCAACUUUCGUACUAUGUGAGUGUUGCUGUGUUGCUGUUAUUAGAGUACUGUCCUUUAUUAAUUAUUUCUUUCAAUAUUAUCGUUGCUGUUGCUGUUGUUGUUUUAUGGUUUGUUAUAGAAAUUUGCUUGUGGACAUUAUUGGUCUAAUGCUGUACCAUCAUCAUCCUCGUUCAAUGAGCUUAGCCGUGUGAGAAGACCUGAAGUGUUUGAAUCUGCUCGCAGAGCAGUAUAUCAAAAGUGCGUCUACAGUAUGUGAAUGUGCAUGUUGCUCACCCAUUUCUAUUCCUGUUUUUUGUUGUUGUUGCUCUUGUUCGCUUUUACACAAUUUUAAACAUCGACACGGUUGUGACCGAUAGAGUAUUUUUAGCGUGACCAGCUCUGAUGCUUCCUGUGCACACAUGUUCAAAAAAAAAACACACAUUUGCUGCAAGCAAAACGCGCUGGUAUUUUUAGAAAUUUUAUCUUUUCCAUUCCGACUGUUGUCAGUAUUGAUUUUCCCUCUGCCUGGAACGCACCGAACAGGCGCGUUUGUGUAGCGCACUUGUGAACAAAGCAAAACCACCCGGGGACCUAACACCAAGUACUUUGUGUACAAUGAGCGAAACUAGAAAUUUGAUGACUACCUUUUUCAUCCUAAUUUUUCUACUUCUGCUACUGUAUCUCGUAUACGAAGGCUUCUAUCAGCCGGAAAUGUAAUUGAAACGGUCAUUUGUUAUUAUGUUCUAUACGUACUUUUACGGCUGCCCAACAAACUGCUGAUGAUUUGUCAAAAGACAAAACCAGUCAUACAAUUUAUUUGAAUUCUGAAUCUAAACUGACGCAAAAACGUUUGGUUUGUUGGUGAUUUUUGGGACAUGGCUUUCAUACCAGCGAAUCAAAAGUAAUAUAUCACGCGUGCACGCACACGCACUUUCAUAGAACUUUCUGUGGCACUACCUAGCACUACCAACCAACCGAACCCUAAGAUCACAAACUUCGCCAAAAAUGAUGGAACGCAUGACGAUGGUGGAUUCUCUGUUAAAACUUGACUUAAAUGUCAAGCUGGGAAACCACAUAGGGUCCAACUGUUUCCAACUCAUCAUCAACCAUUAUCAGCCCGAAUCGUUUAGCGGCAGCAGAAUGAAGAAGGACGAUAAAAUUACCAAGGAUAAAAUGAUGGACCGGAAAGUUAGACACCCUACUGCAUCGUUUUCUACCAAAUCCAUCAUUAUGAAUCUUGUAAUAGCAUUUUUUCUCUAUCUGCUGAGACGCACCAUAGGUCUGUAUUAUUAUACCUUUGCCCGAGCUAUACCCGUUCCACCGCUCAUACAACUGAACGUUAUGAUUAACUUUACCUUUUUUUUAGAAGCUGGUGGGAAAAGCGCCAUAACAAAGUAUAGUAAAUUUAUCAAAUAAAUUGCCCUUCUGUGCCGUUUGAAUGGAAUACCAAUAAAAUUGUUAUGCCAGUCGUUAGUCGUAUUUUUA
Molecule: RNA transcript, 2209 nt
Organism: Anopheles coluzzii
Lineage: Eukaryota; Metazoa; Arthropoda; Insecta; Diptera; Culicidae
Exons: 4
Source: RefSeq, a predicted model, not a curated record